Molecule: ribosomal RNA, 565 nt
Filed under: uncultured bacterium
Lineage: Bacteria
Description: bacterial SSU rRNA
Rfam family: Bacterial small subunit ribosomal RNA
Source: RNAcentral
CCUACGGGAGGCAGCAGUGGGGAAUUUUCCGCAAUGGGCGAAAGCCUGACGGAGCAAUACCGCGUGAGGGAGGAAGGCUCUUGGGUCGUAAACCUCUUUUCUCAGGGAAGAACACAAUGACGGUACCUGAGGAAUAAGCAUCGGCUAACUCCGUGCCAGCAGCCGCGGUAAUACGGAGGAUGCAAGCGUUAUCCGGAAUGAUUGGGCGUAAAGCGUCCGCAGGUGGCAAUGUAAGUCUGCUGUUAAAGAGUGAGGCUCAACCUCAUAAGAGCAGUGGAAACUACAUAGCUAGAGUACGUUCGGGGCAGAGGGAAUUCCUGGUGUAGCGGUGAAAUGCGUAGAGAUCAGGAAGAACACCGGUGGCGAAGGCGCUCUGCUAGGCCGUAACUGACACUGAGGGACGAAAGCUAGGGGAGCGAAUGGGAUUAGAUACCCCAGUAGUCCUAGCCGUAAACGAUGGAUACUAGGCGUGGCUUGUAUCGACCCGAGCCGUGCCGUAGCUAACGCGUUAAGUAUCCCGCCUGGGGAGUACGCCGGCAACGGUGAAACUUAAAUGAAUUGACGG